This 443-nucleotide ribosomal RNA is filed under the name uncultured bacterium. Its description in RNAcentral is "partial 16S ribosomal RNA". It matches the Rfam family "Bacterial small subunit ribosomal RNA", at positions 338 to 795 of the family's 1533-position model. The record is from RNAcentral.
CCUACGGGUGGCAGCAGUGGGGAAUAUUGGGCAAUGGGCGCAAGCCUGACCCAGCAACGCCGCGUGAAGGAAGAAGGCUUUCGGGUUGGAAACUUCUUUUAUCAGGGACGAAGCAAGUGACGGUACCGGAGGAAUAAGACACGGCUAAGUAAGUGCCAGCAGCCGCGGUAAGACGUAGGCGGCAAGCGUUAUCCGGAUUUACUGGGUGUAAAGGGCGUGUAGGCGGGACUGCCAGUCAGAUGUGAAAACCACGGGCUCUACCUGUGGCCUGCAUUUGAAACUGUAGUUCUUGAGUACUGGAGAGGCAGACGGAAUUCCUAGUGUAGCGGUGAAAUGCGUAGAUAUUAGGAGGAACACCAGUGGCGAAGGCGGUCUGCUGGCCAGCAACUGACGCUGAGGCGCGAAAGCGUGGGGAGCGAACAGGAUUAGAUACCCGAGUAGUC